Molecule: ribosomal RNA, 449 nt
Filed under: uncultured bacterium
Lineage: Bacteria
Description: bacterial SSU rRNA
Rfam family: Bacterial small subunit ribosomal RNA
Source: RNAcentral
UGGGGAAUAUUGCGCAAUGGGCGAAAGCCUGACGCAGCGACGCCGCGUGAAGGAUGAAGGUCUUCGGAUUGUAAACUUCUGUUAAGUGGGAAGAAAAUAUCACCAGUAAUAUGGGUGAGAAAUGACGGUACCAUUAGAGAAAGCACCGGCUAACUUCGUGCCAGCAGCCGCGGUAAUACGAGGGGUGCUAGCGUUAUUCGGAAUUAUUGGGCGUAAAGGGUGUGUAGACGGUAUAUUAAGUCUGCUGUUAAAUUUUCCGGCCUAACCGGAAGUCAGCGGUGGAUACUGAUGUACUAGAGGAUGGAAGAGAGAAGUGGAAUUCUCGGAGUAGCGGUAAAAUGCGUAGAUCUCGAGAGGAACACCAAUGGCGAAGGCAGCUUCUUGGUCCAUAUCUGACGUUGAAACACGAAAGCGUGGGGAGCAAACAGGAUUAGAUACCCGGGUAGUCC